UACAGAGGUCUCAAGCGUUGUUCGGAUUCAUUGGGCGUAAAGGGUGCGUAGGUGGCGGGGUUAGUCAGGUGUGAAAUCUCGGAGCUCAACUCCGAAACUGCACUUGAUACUGCCUUGCUAGAGUACUGGAGAGGAGAUUGGAAUUUACGGUGUAGCAGUGAAAUGCGUAGAUAUCGUAAGGAAGACCAGUGGCGAAGGCGAAUCUCUGGACAGUUACUGACACUGAGGCACGAAGGCCAGGGGAGCAAACGGA
Molecule: ribosomal RNA, 253 nt
Filed under: uncultured bacterium
Lineage: Bacteria
Description: partial 16S ribosomal RNA
Rfam family: Bacterial small subunit ribosomal RNA
Source: RNAcentral